This 1314-nucleotide long non-coding RNA is filed under the name Cyanistes caeruleus (blue tit). RNAcentral describes it as "lncRNA (ENSCCEG00000007740.1)". Lineage: Eukaryota; Metazoa; Chordata; Aves; Passeriformes; Paridae. The record is from RNAcentral.
GAAGGGACUGGGAGGACCCCCCCCACUCAAAAAAUUUGGGGGGGGGGCAGCCAGAAUGCCCAAAUUUUAAAAAAAUGGGAAUUUUAGGGGGGGGAUUUCCCCAAUUUUGGGGAUUUUUCCCCCAAUUUUGGGGGUUUUUUACCCAAUUUUAGGGGAUUUUUUCCCCAAUUUUGGGGGGUUUUUCCCCAAUUUUGGGGGGUUUUUCCCCAAUUUUAGGGGUUUUUUACCCAAUUUUGGAGGUUUUUUCCCCAAUUUUCUGGAUUUUUUACCCAAUUUUGGGGUUUUUUACCCAAUUUUGGGUUUUUUUCCCAAUUUUGGAGUUUUUUUCCCCAAUUUUGGGGUUUUUUUUCCCCAAUUUUGGGGGGGUUUUCUCAAUUUAGGGGUUUUUGCCCCAAUUUUGGGGGGGUUCCCCAAUUUUGGGAGGUUUUUACCCAAUUUUGGGGGUUUUUUUUCCCCAAUUUAGGGGUUUUUUACCCAAUUUUGGGUUUUUUCCCCAAUUUUAGGGGAUUUUUUCCCCAAUUUUGGGGUUUUUUCCCCAAUUUUGGGGGGGGGGUUCCCCAAUUUUAGGGGUUUUUCCCCAAUUUGGGGUUUUUUUUCCCCAAUUUUGGGGUUUUACCCAAUUUUGGGGAUUUUCUCCCAAUUUCGGGGUUUUUUACCCAUUUUUGGGAGGUUUUUCCCCAAUUUUGGAGUUUUUUACCCAAUUUUGGGGGGGUUUUACCCAAUUUUGGAUUUUUUUCCCCAAUUUGGGGGGGGGGUUCCCCAAUUUUAGGGUUUUUUCCCCAAUUUUGGGGGUUUUUUUCCCCAAUUUUGGGGUUUUUUUCCCCAAUUUUGGGAGGUUUUUCCCCAAUUUUGGGGUUUUUUCCUCAAUUUUGGGGUUUUUUUUCCCCAAUUUUGGGGGAUUUUUCCUCAAUUUUGGGGAUUUUUCCUCAAUUUUGGGGUGUUUUUCCCCAAUUUUGGGGGAUUUUUUCUCAAUUUUGGGGAUUUUUCCUCAAUUUUGGGGUUUUUCCUCAAUUUUGGGGUUUUUUUCCCCAAUUUUGGGGAUUUUUCCUCAAUUUUGGGGGUCACAACUUUCUCACCCCCCCAAAAAUGUGAAUUUUGGGGUUUUUUCCCCCCAAUUUUUGGGGGUGUCACCACUUCCCCUCCCCCCAAAAAUGGGAAUUUAGGAUUUUUUCCCCAAUUUUUGUGGGGGGGGGGUCACCACUCACUGUCCCCUCCCCCCUCCUUUUUGUCACCUCCUUGUCCCCUCCUUGGGGGGGGCCGAGACCCCCCCCCAAAAUCAACCCCGACCUCAGCGACCUCCCGACCUCCCCCAGC